RNAcentral lists this long non-coding RNA (605 nucleotides) under Olea europaea (common olive). Its description in RNAcentral is "long non-coding RNA (OEUR_LNC013030)". The record is from RNAcentral. Lineage: Eukaryota; Viridiplantae; Streptophyta; Magnoliopsida; Lamiales; Oleaceae.
UGAAUUCAAAAUAUUACACCAAAACUCAAAUAAAAAUUAUCCACUAAGUAUGGUUACAUCUAUAUUUAAAAACAGUAACAAGAAUGAUCUAUAUCUAUUAUUAAGCAUCUAAAAAAACAUAACUCUUCAUCCUCAUGAAAUAGAUAUGCUGCUAAUUCUCACAACGUAUAAUUGAAUUGUUGCUCAACUACCUUCAUCAUGUUUUGUAUCAUUUGCUUCAUCUUCACUCGAACUCAUAUUCUACUUUUCGAGUAGCACGUUUUGCGUCUAACUCUUUCUCUAUACUGCAUACAUUGGAAGGUAGUUGACAUGUUAAAAAAUAUUGAGUCUUGUGUAGAUCGUGACUAUAUAUGAAAUCAUUUAGCAACAUUCAUUUUAAAGAUUGGAUGAAGUUAAAAGACUUUAAUGCCUAGUAUUUCAAGGGGGUCACUUGAUCUUUCAAUGCACGCAGUCUCAAUCCUUCUAAUUUCCGAUAAGUUGGAGGAAGAAUUGUUUGAAAGGACUAAGAAAAAUAUAAACAUUUAUGUUACAAUGAUAAAAUGGCACGUUAAUAUAUCCUGUUUUCCCUUCCGGUCCUACCCAAAGUUUUGAGAAAAUCCUAUGCC